Molecule: ribosomal RNA, 438 nt
Filed under: uncultured actinomycete
Lineage: Bacteria; Bacillati; Actinomycetota; Actinomycetes; Actinomycetales
Description: bacterial SSU rRNA
Rfam family: Bacterial small subunit ribosomal RNA
Source: RNAcentral
CGGCGGAGCAUGUUGCUUAAUUCGACGCAACGCGAAGAACCUUACCAAGGUUUGACAUCGCCCGGAAACCCUCAGAGAUGGGCUCUGGUACAGGCGUGACGAGCGCAACCCUUGUUCCAUGUUGCCAGCGCUCGGGACGUCAAGUAUCAUGCCCCUUAUGUCUUGGCUGCAUACAUGGCCGGUACAUGGGUUGCGAUGCCGUAAGGCGGGGCGUCCCUAAAAGCCGGUCUCAGUUCGGAUUGGGGUGCAACUCGACCCCAUGAAGUCGGAGUCGCUAGUAAUCGAGAUCAGCAACGCUGCGGUGAAUACGUUCCCGGGCCUUGUACACACCGCCGUCACGUCAUGAAAGUCGGCAACACCCGAAGCCCGUGGCCCAACCCACUUGUGGGGGGGAGCGGUCGAAGUGGGGCUGGCGAUUGGGACGAAGUCGUACAAGGU